GACGAACGCUGGCGGCGUGCUUAACACAUGCAAGUCGAACGGAAAGGCCCUGCUUGUGUGGGGUGCUCGAGUGGCGAACGGGUGAGUAACACGUGAGUAACCUGCCCUUGACUUUGGGAUAACUUCAGGAAACUGGGGCUAAUACCGGAUAGGAGCUCCUGCUGCAUGGUGGGGGUUGGAAAGUUUCGGCGGUUGGGGAUGGACUCGCGGCUUAUCAGCUUGUUGGUGGGGUAGUGGCUUACCAAGGCUUUGACGGGUAGCCGGCCUGAGAGGGUGACCGGCCACAUUGGGACUGCGAUACGGCCCAGACUCCUACAGGAGGCAGCAGUGGGGAAUAUUGCCCAGUGGGCGGACGCCUGAUGCAGCAACGCCGCGUGCGGGGUGACGGCCUUCGGGUUGUAAACCGCUUUCGCCUGUGACGCAGCGUGAGUGACGGUAAUGGGUAAAGAAGCACCGGCUAACUACGUG
Molecule: ribosomal RNA, 468 nt
Filed under: uncultured bacterium
Lineage: Bacteria
Description: partial 16S ribosomal RNA
Rfam family: Bacterial small subunit ribosomal RNA
Source: RNAcentral